UUUCUGUAAAGUAGAUUUUGUAGA
This 24-nucleotide non-coding RNA is filed under the name Cricetulus griseus (Chinese hamster). The record is from RNAcentral. Lineage: Eukaryota; Metazoa; Chordata; Mammalia; Rodentia; Cricetidae.